Molecule: ribosomal RNA, 1295 nt
Filed under: human oral metagenome
Description: bacterial LSU rRNA
Rfam family: Bacterial large subunit ribosomal RNA
Source: RNAcentral
CAUUCAAAGAGUGCGUAAUAGCUCACUAGUCGAGUGACCCUGCGCCGAAAAUGUACCGGGGCUAAAACAAUUUACCGAAGCUGUGGAUACCUUUAUAGGUAUGGUAGGAGAGCGUUCUAUGUGUGAAGAAGGUGUACCGUGAGGAGUGCUGGAACGCAUAGAAGUGAGAAUGCCGGUAUGAGUAGCGAAAGACAGGUGAGAAUCCUGUCCACCGUAAGACUAAGGUUUCCAGGGGAAGGCUCGUCCGCCCUGGGUUAGUCGGGACCUAAGGAGAGACCGAAAGGUGUAUCCGAUGGACAACAGGUUGAUAUUCCUGUACUAGAGUAUGUAGUGAUGGAGGGACGCAGUAGGCUAACUAAAGCAGACGAUUGGAAGAGUCUGUCUAAGCAGUGAGGUGUGAUAUGAGUCAAAUGCUUAUAUCUAUAACAUUGAGCUGUGAUGGGGAGCGAAGUUUAGUAGCGAAGUUAGUGACGUCACACUGCCAAGAAAAGCUUCUAGCGUUUAAACAUACUCUACCCGUACCGCAAACCGACACAGGUAGUCGAGGCGAGUAGCCUCAGGUGAGCGAGAGAACUCUCGUUAAGGAACUCGGCAAAAUGACCCCGUAACUUCGGGAGAAGGGGUGCUGGCUUAAAGUCAGCCGCAGUGAAUAGGCCCAAGCAACUGUUUAUCAAAAACACAGCUCUCUGCUAAAUCGUAAGAUGAUGUAUAGGGGGUGACGCCUGCCCGGUGCUGGAAGGUUAAGAGGAGUGCUUAGCGUAAGCGAAGGUAUGAAUUGAAGCCCCAGUAAACGGCGGCCGUAACUAUAACGGUCCUAAGGUAGCGAAAUUCCUUGUCGGGUAAGUUCCGACCCGCACGAAAGGCGUAAUGAUUUGGGCACUGUCUCAACGAGAGACUCGGUGAAAUUUUAGUACCUGUGAAGAUGCAGGUUACCCGCGACAGGACGGAAAGACCCCAUGGAGCUUUACUGCAGUUUGAUAUUGAGUGUCUGUACCACAUGUACAGGAUAGGUAGGAGUCUAUGAGAUCGGGACGCCAGUUUCGAAGGAGACGUUGUUGGGAUACUACCCUUGUGUUAUGGCCACUCUAACCCGGAUAGGUGAUCCCUAUCGGAGACAGUGUCUGACGGGCAGUUUGACUGGGGCGGUCGCCUCCUAAAAGGUAACGGAGGCGCCCAAAGGUUCCCUCAGAAUGGUUGGAAAUCAUUCGCAGAGUGUAAAGGUAUAAGGGAGCUUGACUGCGAGAGCUACAACUCGAGCAGGGACGAAAGUCGGGCUUAGUGAUCCGGUGGUUCCG